CGCGUAGGCGGUCAUGCAAGUCAGGUGUGAAAUCCCCAGGCUUAACCUGGGAACUGCGCUUGAAACUGCAUAGCUUGAGGCCGGGAGAGGAAAGUGGAAUUCCUGGUGUAGCGGUGAAAUGCGUAGAUAUCAGGAGGAACACCGGUGGCGAAGGCGGCUUUCUGGACCGGUUCUGACGCUGAAGCGCGAAAGCGUGGGGAGCAAACG
Molecule: ribosomal RNA, 207 nt
Filed under: uncultured bacterium
Lineage: Bacteria
Description: partial 16S ribosomal RNA
Rfam family: Bacterial small subunit ribosomal RNA
Source: RNAcentral